AUAGCAAUUCUUCAUAAACCAUUGUUGAGCAUCAAUUCUCAACUUUGGUAUAGUUUAGUAUAUUGUAAUCAGUUUACUAAAAUUUUAUAGUAAUUAGAUGAUAGGUUAAUUUGAUUUUGAACAAAUGGAGAUAAGAAACGACGAAAAGCUGCAGUUUAACUACUUUCUUAAUAAUUGCAGAAUUUGUAUAUUUAGACUAUUGCUGCUUAUUUUGUUGAUUUAUGAGCAUUACGUUCUUGCAUAACUUAAAUUGCUAUCCCUAAUUUCAAAAAUAAAAUAAAAAACGAUGCUUUUUAUUAUUCUAAAAA
Molecule: long non-coding RNA, 308 nt
Filed under: Jatropha curcas
Lineage: Eukaryota; Viridiplantae; Streptophyta; Magnoliopsida; Malpighiales; Euphorbiaceae
Description: long non-coding RNA (JCUR_LNC003535)
Source: RNAcentral